AUACGUAGGGUGCGAGCGUUAAUCGGAAUUACUGGGCGUAAAGGGUGCGUAGGUGGUCAGACAAGUCCCAUGUCAAAGCAUGGUGCUUAACGCCAUAGGGGCGUGGGAAACUGUCGGACUAGAGUGCAGCAGGGGCAGGAGGAAUUCCCGGUGUAGCGGUGAAAUGCGUAGAUAUCGGGAAGAACACCGGUGGCGCAAGCGUUCUGCUGGGCUGUAACUGACACUGAGGCACGAAAGCUAGGGGAGCGAAAGGGAUUAGAUACCCCUGUAGUCCUAGCCGUAAACGAUGGACACUAGGUGUAGGCAGUAUCGACCCUGUCUGUGCCGUAGCCAACGCGUUAAGUGUCCCGCCUGGGGAGUACGGUCGCAAGAUUGAA
This 377-nucleotide ribosomal RNA is filed under the name uncultured bacterium. RNAcentral describes it as "bacterial SSU rRNA". It matches the Rfam family "Bacterial small subunit ribosomal RNA", at positions 523 to 898 of the family's 1533-position model. The record is from RNAcentral.